Molecule: ribosomal RNA, 253 nt
Filed under: uncultured bacterium
Lineage: Bacteria
Description: partial 16S ribosomal RNA
Rfam family: Bacterial small subunit ribosomal RNA
Source: RNAcentral
UACGUAGGGGGCUAGCGUUGUCCGGAAUCAUUGGGCGUAAAGAGCGUGUAGGCGGCCCGGUAAGUCCGCUGUGAAAGUCGGGGGCUCAACCCUCGGAUGCCGGUGGAUACUGUCGGGCUCGAGUACGGAAGAGGCGAGUGGAAUUCCUGGUGUAGCGGUGAAAUGCGCAGAUAUCGGGAAGAACACCCGUGGCGAAGGCGGCUCUCUGGGACGGUACUGACGCUGAGACGCGAAAGCGUGGGGAGCGAACAGG